UCCCAGAUAGCUCAAAAGGUCAAGAAUCUGCCUGCAAUGCAGAAGACCUGGGUCCGAUCCCUGGGUUGGGAA
This 72-nucleotide transfer RNA is filed under the name Ovis aries (sheep). It matches the Rfam family "tRNA". From Rfam's summary of the family: Transfer RNA (tRNA) molecules are approximately 80 nucleotides in length. Their secondary structure includes four short double-helical elements and three loops (D, anti-codon, and T loops). The record is from Rfam by way of RNAcentral. Lineage: Eukaryota; Metazoa; Chordata; Mammalia; Artiodactyla; Bovidae.